This 488-nucleotide ribosomal RNA is filed under the name uncultured bacterium. RNAcentral's name for it is "bacterial SSU rRNA". It matches the Rfam family "Bacterial small subunit ribosomal RNA", at positions 28 to 525 of the family's 1533-position model. The record is from RNAcentral.
GACGAACGCUGGCGGCGUGCUUAACACAUGCAAGUCAAGGGGGCUCCGCAAGGGGCAACCGGCGAACGGGUGCGUAACACGUGAGCAACCUGCCUUGAAGUGGGGGAUAGCCGGCCCAACGGUCGGGUAAUACCGCAUACGGUCUUCUGGUGGCAUCACCGGGGGAAGAAACGCUUGACGGCUUCAAGAGGGGCUCGCGGCCUAUCAGCUAGUUGGUGCGGUCACGGCGCACCAAGGCGACGACGGGUAGCUGGUCUGAGAGGAUGGCCAGCCACAUUGGGACUGAGAAACGGCCCAGACUCCUACGGGAGGCAGCAGUGGGGAAUCUUGCGCAAUGGCCGAGGGGCUGACGCAGCGACGCCGCGUGGGGGAUGAAGCAUUUCGGUGUGUAAACCCCUGUUGCUCGGGACGAACGACCCUUUUCGAGGGGUGUGACGGUACCGAGUGAGGAAGCACCGGCUAACUCCGUGCCAGCCGCCGCUGUAAAG